Molecule: long non-coding RNA, 373 nt
Organism: Uranotaenia lowii
Lineage: Eukaryota; Metazoa; Arthropoda; Insecta; Diptera; Culicidae
Exons: 4
Source: RefSeq, a predicted model, not a curated record
GCUAUUGAUGAAAACGGUUGUGUUUCAGUUUAAUUUGUGACUGUGGUGUGGUGAGAUCAAAGUUGAGAAAAACUACAAAUGACUCAACCGGCGAAUUCGACAGCUAAGGAAAAUGGAACUUAUUAUUUGUCAAUUCUCAUCAGUGGAGACAUUCAAUGUGAUUCAGAAAUUUUCCGAUCAACUGUUGCUUCAAGAGAAUAUGUUCAAAACUUGGAGGAUAAUUGAGCUAGACCUGUCGUUUUAUGUUGUGAUUGCAGGGCUUACAGCGACCUACGUCAUUGUGCUGAUACAGUUGAAUUAGUAUGUGAAUCCGUUCUGAGAGCGUUAAGGGUGGGAAUCAAUUUACGUUAUUAUAAGUCAUGAGAUAAAGGAG